CGGGGCGUAGCUCAGCUUGGAUUAGAGCGCCAGAAUGGGGUUCUGGAGGUCGCAGGUUCAAAUCCUGUCGCCCCGAC
RNAcentral lists this transfer RNA (77 nucleotides) under bacterium HR36. Its description in RNAcentral is "tRNA-Pro". It matches the Rfam family "tRNA". From Rfam's summary of the family: Transfer RNA (tRNA) molecules are approximately 80 nucleotides in length. The record is from RNAcentral.